RNAcentral lists this non-coding RNA (758 nucleotides) under Gabronthus thermarum. Lineage: Eukaryota; Metazoa; Arthropoda; Insecta; Coleoptera; Staphylinidae. The record is from RNAcentral.
AUAAAGUUUUAUUCUAGCUUAGAAAAUUAAUUUAUGGGUAAAUUAUAUGUAAAGUUUUAAGGAUUUAAAUAGUUGUUUAAAUGCAAUAAUUAGUAUUAAAAAUUAAUUGAAGUUAGAUUUAGUUACUCAUAAUAGUAUUGACAAAAUUUGUGCCAGCAGUUGCGGUUAUACAGAUAAUGCAAUUAAUUUAAAUUGGUUUAUAAUUAAUUUGUUUAAUUUAAUUUUAAAAAAAGAUUUAUUAAGUGAAAUUUUAAUUUUUUAUUAUGAUUAAUUUUAUUUAAUGAGGUUAUUAAAUUUUUAUUUAGACUAGGAUUAGAUACCCUAUUAUUUUAAAUGUAAAUUUUAAAACUUAGUGAUUAAUAGUUAUAUUCUUUAAAGUUAAAGGAUUUGGCGGUAUUUUAGUCUAUUUAGAGGAACCUGUUCUGUAAUUGAUAAUCCACGAUUUAUUUUACUUAUUUUAAUUAGUUUGUAUAUCGUCGUAGUUUGAAUAUUUUAAAAGAAUUUAAUGUUCAAUAGUCUUUAUAAGGAAAGAAAUUAGAUCAAGGUGCAGUUUAUAAAUAAGAAGAAAUGGGUUACAAUAAAUUUAUUUAUAUGGUUAUAUAUUUGAAAAGUAUAUUUAAAGUGGAUUUAAAAGUAAUAAUUUUAAAUUUAAUAUUAUGAUUUUAGCUCUAAAAUAUGUACAUAUCGCCCGUCGCUCUCGUUUAAAAUGAGAUAAGUCGUAACAUAGUAGAUGUACUGGAAAGUGUAUCUAGAUAGAC